This 492-nucleotide ribosomal RNA is filed under the name uncultured bacterium. RNAcentral describes it as "partial 16S ribosomal RNA". It matches the Rfam family "Bacterial small subunit ribosomal RNA", at positions 29 to 507 of the family's 1533-position model. The record is from RNAcentral.
AGUGAACGCUGGCGAUAGGCCUAACACAUGCAAGUCGAACGGCAGCACAGUAAGAGCUUGCUCUUACGGGUGGCGAGUGGCGGACGGGUGAGGAAUACAUCGGAAUCUACUUUUUCGUGGGGGAUAACGUAGGGAAACUUACGCUAAUACCGCAUACGACCUACGGGUGAAAGCAGGGGAUCUUCGGACCUUGCGCGAUUGAAUGAGCCGAUGUCGGAUUAGCUAGUUGGCGGGGUAAAGGCCCACCAAGGCGACGAUCCGUCGCUGGUCUGAGAGGAUGAUCAGCCACACUGGAACUGAGACACGGUCCAGACUCCUACGGGAGGCAGCAGUGGGGAAUAUUGGACAAUGGGCGCAAGCCUGAUCCAGCCAUACCGCGUGGGUGAAGAAGGCCUUCGGGUUGUAAAGCCCUUUUGUUGGGAAAGAAAAGCAGCAGGUUAAUACCCCGCUGUUCUGACGGUACCCAAAGAAUAAGCACCGGCUAACUUCGUG